This 468-nucleotide ribosomal RNA is filed under the name uncultured bacterium. Its description in RNAcentral is "partial 16S ribosomal RNA". It matches the Rfam family "Bacterial small subunit ribosomal RNA", at positions 28 to 507 of the family's 1533-position model. The record is from RNAcentral.
GACGAACGCUGGCGGCGUGCUUAACACAUGCCAGUCGAACGGAAAGGCCCUGCUUUUGUGGGGUGCUCGAGUGGCGAACGGGUGAGUAACACGUGAGUAACCUGCCCUUGACUUUGGGAUAACUCCAGGAAACUGGGGCUAAUACCGGAUAGGAGCUCCUGCUGCAUGGUGGGGGUUGGAAAGUUUCGGCGGUUGGGGAUGGACUCGCGGCUUAUCAGCUUGUUGGUGGAGUAGUGGCUUACCAAGGCUUUGACGGGUAGCCGGCCUGGGAGGGUUGACAGCCACAUUGGGACUGAGGGACGGCCCAGACUCCUACGGGAGGCAGCAGGGGGGAAUAUUGCACAGUGGGCGGAAGCCUGAUGCAGCAACGCCGCGUGCGGGAUGACGGCCUUCGGGUUGUAAACCGCUUUCGCCUGUGACGAAGAGUGAGUGACGGUAAUGGGUCAAGAAGCACCGGCUAACUACGUG